RNAcentral lists this unclassified non-coding RNA (346 nucleotides) under soil metagenome. RNAcentral describes it as "partial contains 5.8S ribosomal RNA, internal transcribed spacer 2, and large subunit ribosomal RNA". The stretch from base 1 to 123 matches the Rfam family "5.8S ribosomal RNA", at positions 35 to 154 of the family's 154-position model. The record is from RNAcentral.
GAUGAAGAACGUAGUGAAAUGCGAUACGUAAUGUGAAUUGCAGAUCUCUCAGUGAACCAUCGAAUUUUUGAACGCACAUAGCGCCCGCCGGUCAUUCCGGCGGGCAUGCCUGUCCGAGCGUCAUUUCAACCCUCAAGCCCCCGGGCUUGGUGUUGGGGAUCGGCGAGCCUCCGCGCCCGCCGUCCCCUAAAUCUAGUGGCGGUCUCGCUGUAGCUUCCUCUGCGUAGUAGCACACCUCGCACUGGGAAACAGCGCGGCCACGCCGUUAAACCCCCAACUUCUGAACGUUUGACCUCGGAUCAGGUAGGAAUACCCGCUGAACUUAAGCAUAUCAAUAAGCGGAGGA